UUUAUCUCUAAUUAGUGAUUUGGACUUUAACUGUUCUUACUAGCGUGGUAGAGUCCUAUGAUGGACACAUCUUAAUGUGUCUAAAUGUACACUGUAUUUUAUAUGAAUAAUAUAUAGUCUAUUGACUAAUUUUUCUAUAUGCUAGGCCACUGGUAGUAAACAUUUCUAAAAUCUUUA
This is a long non-coding RNA of Octopus sinensis (East Asian common octopus), 177 nucleotides long. RefSeq lists it as uncharacterized. NCBI's taxonomy places the organism in Eukaryota, Metazoa, Mollusca, Cephalopoda, Octopoda, Octopodidae. The record is from RefSeq and is a predicted model, not a curated record. The transcript has 3 exons.